Molecule: long non-coding RNA, 5374 nt
Filed under: Homo sapiens (human)
Lineage: Eukaryota; Metazoa; Chordata; Mammalia; Primates; Hominidae
Description: HSALNT0243811
Source: RNAcentral
CUCGAACUCCUGACCUCAGCUGAUCCACCCACCUCAGCCUCUCAAAGUGCUGGGGUUACAGGCGUGAGCCACCGCGCCCGGCUGCACCUACUCUUAGAGAAUUCUCAGGCCCCACGCCUUACCCCAACUUCUGUUACCAGUGGUGAAUCCAAUGGGUCUGCAGCAAACUUGAUGCUUGCCUUCUCAAAGACAGAACUCAGCUGAGGGGCAGAGGUGGUUUUAAGUGGUUUUAAGGCACAGGGAGAGACCAAGGCAAGUUUUAGAGCAGGAGUGAGAGUUUAUUAAAAAGUUUUAGAGCAGGAACAAAAGGAAGUACACUACACUUGGGUCAGGCAGGCAACUUGAGAGAUCUAAGUGCCCUGCCUGACCCUUAACUUGGGGUUUUAUGUAUUUGGCAUAGUUCUGGGAUUUACGUCUCAUCUCCCCUGAUUCUUCCCUUGCAGCAGGCUGUCCGCGUAUGUGGUGACCUGCCAGCACUUGGAAGGGGUCGCAUGCACAGUGUGAUUACUGAAGUUGCGCGCAUGCUCACUUGAGGCAUUUUUCCCCUUACCAGUCGUGCGUUCCCAGAGGAAGGUAGGUCAUAUACUGGUUAAAUUCCGCCAUUUUGCCUCUUGGUGCGCAUGCUCCAGGCUGCUUGCCCAGCUCCUGAGAUCUUAUCGGGAAGCGGCUGAUCACCAGAUCAGGGUGUUUUGUAUCUAUUGAGAGACUGUCCUUGCUUGGAGCUGGCUGCAACCAAUUAUUAUUUUACAGAGACAGUUUAACAACCACCUGACCAUCACCUGAUGGUAGCCUGACAUUCCUGUGGGGGCCCUCACCUGUCCUGCUCAUGUUUGCCUAGCUCCCUACUCUAACAUUUCCACUCUGUGGACCCCAGGUUGAGAUCUUCUGCAGGGAAGACUGUCCUCAAAUAGCCUGCUGGGGAGACAUCUCCUUCCCGUUUACCUUUCCAUUUGCCCUUGCGGUGUUAGGCAAAGGCUGAAGCUGGCCUCUGUGGCAGAGGGUUUCUUCCCAACACGCCAAUGACGCUGGUGGAGAGUCUUAAAAACAGCUGUGCUGGGGAGAGUUCUUGGUGUGUACCUUUCAGAGACCUCCUCCUUAAGACUCUCAAAGACUGAGUCAGGCCAGUGGGAGCCUGGCAGCAAUUCUUAGGGGACAGUGACAGCUUUUUGAGGAGGACUAAUUGGCUUCUAGGGCUGGAGGCCACUUGGGUCUGACAGACUGCCCUGCUGCCAUCCCUCCAGGGCACCCCCCACUCCCUUGCCUCAGGGCCUUCCUGCACUUCUUCCUUUUGUCCUCAAUGUUCUUCACCCCACCUUUUCCACUGGUACCCUCUGCCUAUGGUCAAGGCUUUGGUGAGACCCACUUUCCUCUUAGACCUUCCUGGAUCCCCCAAAGUCUGUGUUGGAAGCCCCUCCCAUGUGCCCUUGUUUGAGCUUUUAAUUUUCCACCAUGACGCUUGUCACACUGCUUUGUAAUUGGCUCUCUGUUAGUCUGCAUCUCUACUGGGUUGUACCUUCCAGGAGGACAGCUGCCAUGUGACUCUUGUAAUCUUCCCACCGCCAACACCCAGCACAGCGUCAGGAACACAGAGCAUGAUGAGCACAAGCUUGUUGAGCAAACAGACAAAUAACUGGAUGCUUCUGUGCAGAGUUUCUCAACCUGGCCAUUAUUGGCAUUUGGGACUUGAUCAUGCUUGGUCGUGGGAGACGGUUCUGUGCCUGUAGGAUGUUUAGGAGCAUGCUUGGUUUCUACCCACCAGAUGCCGGGAGCACACCCACCCAGCUGUGACAACCAAAAAUGUCUCCAGACACCAUUCCAAAACCAGCGGGAGACAAAAUCGCCCGACAGUCGUUGCUUUAGUGAGUGAAUGUUGACCUAAGCGUCACUUCGCCUGUCUUGAGUCUAGGUCGGGGAGUGGGUUCAGUUAGCCAAUCAGAGAACGCUGAUGGGGCGACCAGUAUAUGCUCAUGAAAUGGGUGGCUGACCUCUUGGGGUCAGAAGAGGGAAAAGUUUUACUGUGUGUUGGCUAAGGACCAUUUUAAGUCCUUCAGUGACCGAUUACCACAUGAGAACACAAGAGGGCGCUCUAACUAAUGAGUUCCGCGGCCGAGAAAACUCCUGGAGUGGGUGCUCCUGGGAUGCUUCAGGUUUAGACACCGGGGUUACGGCAGCUGCCGAGGAAGGCUAAAGCCAGCGUCCUGGAUUCAGACAGACCUUUUAGCCAUUAAAUCCACUAAGAAAGAUCCCUGCGCAUGAAGUUUCCUCCUCGGAAAUAUAGGCAGAAGGGAAAGUAAUUUUAAACUCAUGUGUGCUCCACAGGCCGGGGGCGGUGGCUCAUGCCUGUGGAGCACACAUGAGGACAAGGCGGGCAGAUCACCAAAGGUCAGGCAUUCGAGAUCAGCCUGGCCAACGUGGUGAAACCCCAUCUCUACUAAAAAUACAAAAAUUAGCCAGGCGUGGUGACAUGUGCCUGUAAUCCCAGCUACUCGGGAGGCUGAGACAGGAGAACUGCUUGAACCCAGGAGGCGGAGGUUGCAGUGAGCAGAGGUUGCGCCGCUGCAGUCCAGCCCGGGCAACAAGAGCGAAUCUCCGUCUCAAAACAACAAAACAAAAACAUAGACCUGCUCGGUUCUCUCUGUGACUUCAGAGGCCCAAGGAGUCCUCAGCACUAUAGAUGCAUGUGGCCCCUCAGAAGACAACAUUUCACAGAUCUGCAAAGAGCAAAGGUCAAAUUUAUUUAAUACAACAUCCACGAGGGUCCCUGCAGCUGUGUCACUGAGGCAAACAGGAAAAGUGAUUUUGGCUAGGCGUGGUUCUCAUCUGUGAAAUUCCACAGCGCAAUGACAGCAGCCUCUCUCCCACCCACUCAAGACACUGUCAGGAAUGUCUUAAGACCUCAGGAGACCACUUCUUUAGCAAGCAAUUUUGUUUUUUGUUUUUUUUGAGAUGGAUUCUCACUCUGUCACUCAGGCUGGAGUGCAGUGGCGCGAUCUCCGCUCACUACAACCUCCGUUUCCUGGGUUCAAGCGAUAAUCUCACCUCAGCCUCUUGAGUAGCUGAUACUACAGGCAUGCGCCACCACGCCCGGCUAAUUCUUGUAUUUUUAGUAGAGACAGGGUUUCAUCAGGCUGGUCUCAAACUCCUGACCUCAGGUGAUCCGCCCACCUCAGCCUCCUGAAGUGCUGGGAUUACAGGCGUGAGCCACCUUGCCUGCCCUGGCAAGGAAUACAUUUUUAAAAAUUAGUAAGAAACAUACACAUUUCAAGUUUUCAAUUAAGAAUAAUAUUUGCUGAUGGCACCAUCUUCCUGUCUUUCAGCCUUCAGCAUGGUAGAGGAAAAGAGAAAGAGUGUAGACAAAAACAGUUGAAGAACAUCUGUGCUUGUUCCACCUUCAUUUUCUGUUUUGUGCGUUGCCUGAAUGAACGGUGUCUUCAGGUUGGUAUUUCACAGGCGGUGCUCCCAAGUAGUCUGGUUUUCCCAUUUGUGGAGGGCGAGGUCAUAGAGGGGACAGGGGGAGGCUGUCUGGUCAGCACUGUGUAUUUCCAAAGAACAAGGACUAGCCAAAACUACAAGCCUUUGAAGGACCAAAGGAAAAGAGAAAAAACCAGCCUCUAACCAGGCCAUGCGCUAGAAAUGAUUGAGUAUAAAAAAGAAAAUUGGUUUCUGUGUAUGAGGGUGCAUGGAAAAGGUCUUUAUCUCUGCACAAAACAAAAUAUUCAAGUUUCAGAAUAUCCCAAUGGCCUUGCCCUGGAUCUCCUCUUGUGCUCUUCCAAUUUCCAAGGAUGUUCCAACUUGGUGGAAGGAGGGUAUGUGGGAAAUUCAACAGCCCCUCUGUAUCUCUUUCUACCCAACAUUAACUUAGCAGGAUGGAUUUAAGAACCGGCAGCUUAGCCUGAGGAAUUGCUGUGUUCUGUGGGAGCAGGGCAGGUUCAUAAAUAAGUGCACAGAGGUCUUGAAAUACAGGGAUUAUCUGUUCUUCUCGGAACAUGGAUGUCCUUCCAGGGAUGUGCAUCUGGCCUUGCUGUCUAAGUUCCAUCAAGGGAGCCUUCCGUUCUCUGUAGCGACAAGAAACAAGGCAAGUUAUGAUCACACCUCUCAAGAUUGAAGAUUGCCCUGGUGGAGAGAAAUGCAAAAUGACAGCACUUCUCAAAGAAAAUGCAAAGCAGGGCUGUCACACACUGGUCCCCCACCCUGCAGGGUUCUCUCUGUGACUUCAGAGGCCCAAGGAGUCCUCAGCACUACAGAUACACGUGGCCCCUCAGAAGACAACAUUUCACAGAUCUGCAAAGAAUAAAGGUCAAAUUUACUUAAUACAACACCCACCAGGGUUCCUGCAGCUGUGUCACUGAGGCAAACAGGGAAAGUAAUUUUGGUUAGGUGUGGUUCUCACCUCUGAAAUUCCACAGCACAAUGACUGCAGCCUCUCUCCCACCCACUCAAGACAUUGUCAGGAACGUCUUAAGACCUCAGGAGACCACUUCUUUAGCAAGCAAUUUUUUUUAGAUGGAUUCUCACUCUGUCACUCAGGCUGGAGUGCAGUGGCGCGGUCUCUGCUCACUACACCCUCCCUCUCCUGGCUCCUGCCCGUAUGUAUUUCUCCUUCUCUCCAUGCCUGCUCUGUAGGGACCAUAGCCUCUGUCCCUGCAUACAUGUUGGACAUCAAUCACAUCAGUCCACCAAGUAACUUCAUCAAGCACCCAUGUACGCCCAGCACAGCGUCCCAAGGGUGCCCCACUUACCCACAGAAGAAGAAAGGCAACUUUGUAAGAGAUCUGACUUCUAGCUCCAGUUCUGUCUCUAGCUAACGUGAGAUGUACCCGUUUGAGGCCUGUUUUUUAAUUUUGAAAAUGAAGGACUGAACUUAGAUGGUCCAACUGAAAUGUUUUAAAAUGAUAUGAUUCUACCUUAAAAAGAGAAUGAAAUUCUGAUAUAUUUUCAACACAGGAAAACCUUGAAAACGUUAUGCUAAAUGAAAUAAGGCAGACAUGAAAGGACAAAUAUAUGAUUCCACUUAUGUGAUGUACCUCAAAUAGUCAAAUUCAUAGAGACAGAAAGUAGACAGUGGUUGCUAGGGGUUGCUGGAGGGGCAAUGGGGAGUUAGUGUUUAAUGGGUACAGUGUUUCAGUGGCUGCUCUGCCUAUGGAGUAGCCAUUCUUUUGUUUCUUUACUUCUCUAAUAAACUUGCUUUCACUUAAAAAGAAAAAGCUCUGGAGAUGGAUAGUGGUGGUGGUUGCACAGCAAUGUGAACGGACCUAAUGCAACUGAAUUAUACACUUUAAAAUGGUUAAGUAUACACUGGAAAAUGGUGAAUUUGCCGGGCGGGCGCAGUGGCUCACGCCUGUAAUCCCAACACUUUGGGAGGCCGAGGCGGGUG